This 1134-nucleotide ribosomal RNA is filed under the name marine metagenome. Its description in RNAcentral is "bacterial SSU rRNA". It matches the Rfam family "Bacterial small subunit ribosomal RNA", at positions 379 to 1520 of the family's 1533-position model. The record is from RNAcentral.
AAGCCUGAUGCAGCAACGCCGCGUGAGGGAUGACGGCCUUCGGGUUGUAAACCUCUUUUGGUAGGGAAGAAGCCUUCGGGUGACGGUACCUGCAGAAAAAGCGCCGGCUAACUACGUGCCAGCAGCCGCGGUAAUACGUAGGGCGCAAGCGUUAUCCGGAAUUAUUGGGCGUAAAGAGCUCGUAGGCGGUCUGUCGCGUCUGCUGUGAAAUUCCGAGGCUCAACCUCGGGCUUGCAGUGGGUACGGGCAGACUAGAGUGCGGUAGGGGAGAUUGGAAUUCCUGGUGUAGCGGUGGAAUGCGCAGAUAUCAGGAGGAACACCGAUGGCGAAGGCAGAUCUCUGGGCCGUAACUGACGCUGAGGAGCGAAAGGGUGGGGAGCAAACAGGCUUAGAUACCCUGGUAGUCCACCCCGUAAACGUUGGGAACUAGUUGUGGGGUCCUUUCCACGGAUUCCGUGACGUAGCUAACGCAUUAAGUUCCCCGCCUGGGGAGUACGGCCGCAAGGCUAAAACUCAAAGGAAUUGACGGGGACCCGCACAAGCGGCGGAGCAUGCGGAUUAAUUCGAUGCAACGCGAAGAACCUUACCAAGGCUUGACAUACACCAGAACGGGCCAGAAAUGGUCAACUCUUUGGACACUGGUGAACAGGUGGUGCAUGGUUGUCGUCAGCUCGUGUCGUGAGAUGUUGGGUUAAGUCCCGCAACGAGCGCAACCCUCGUUCUAUGUUGCCAGCACGUAAUGGUGGGAACUCAUGGGAUACUGCCGGGGUCAACUCGGAGGAAGGUGGGGAUGACGUCAAAUCAUCAUGCCCCUUAUGUCUUGGGCUUCACGCAUGCUACAAUGGCCGGUACAAUGGGCUGCGAUACCGCGAGGUGGAGCGAAUCCCAAAAAGCCGGUCCCAGUUCGGAUUGAGGUCUGCAACUCGACCUCAUGAAGUCGGAGUCGCUAGUAAUCGCAGAUCAGCAACGCUGCGGUGAAUACGUUCCCGGGUCUUGUACACACCGCCCGUCAAGUCAUGAAAGUCGGUAACACCUGAAGCCGGUGGCCCAACCCUUGUGGAGGGAGCCGUCGAAGGUGGGAUCGGUAAUUAGGACUAAGUCGUAACAAGGUAGCCGUACCGGAAGGUGCGGCUG